UGAAUACGAGAUGCUACGGCGUCGAAGCAGUCUAUGUCAUACUUCCAAGAAAAGCUUGCACUGUCAUAAACAAAUAAUGCCUGUACCAUAACCGACACAGGUGGGUAGGUAGAGUAUACUAAGGGGCGCGAGAUAACUCUCUCUAAGGAACUCGGCAAAAUGACUCCGUAACUUCGGGAGAAGGAGUGCCUUAUUUUAUAAGGUUGCAAUAACAAGAUCCAAGCAACUGUUUACCAAAAACACAGGUCUCCGCUAAGUCGUAAGACGAUGUAUGGGGGCUGACGCCUGCCCAGUGCCAGAAGGUUAAAGAAGUUGGUUAGCAUCCGCGAAGCUGAUAACUGAAGCCCUGGUGAACGGCGGCCGUAACAAUAACGGUCCUAAGGUAGCGAAAUUCCUUGUCGGGUAAGUUCCGACCCGCACGAAAGGCGUAAUGAUUUGGAUACUGUCUCAGAGAGGGGCUCGGUGAAAUAGACUUGUCUGUGAAGAUGCGGACUACCUGCACCAGGACAGAAAGACCCUAUGAAGCUUUACUGUAACUUGAAAUUGAAAUUGGACUUUACUUGCGCAGUAUAGGUGGGAGGCGUUGAGAAUAUUCUUGCGGGAAUGUUGGAGCCAUCAGUGAGAUACCACUCUUGUAAUGUUAGAUUUCUAACUUUGUAUCAUUAUCUGGUCAAAGGACAGUUUCAGGCGGGCAGUUUGACUGGGGCGGUCGCCUCCCAAACGGUAACGGAGGCGCACAAAGGUUUCCUCUGAACGGGUAGAAAUCGUAUCUAGAGUGUAAAGGCAUAAGGAAGCUUGACUGUGAGACCUACAAGUCGAGCAGGGACGAAAGUCGGUCUUAGUGAUCUGACGGUGCUGAGUGGAAAGGCCGUCACUCAACGGAUAAAAGUUACUCUAGGAUAACAGGCUGAUCUCCCCCAAGAGUUCACAUCGACGGGGAGGUUUGGCACCUCGAUGUCGGCUCAUCGCAUCCUGGGGCGGUAGUACGUCCCAAGGGUUGGGCUGUUCGCCCAUGAAAGCGGUACGCGAGCUGGGUUCAGAACGUCGUGAGACAGUUCGGUCCAUAUCCGGUGUAGGCGUUAGAAUAUUGAGAGGAGCCUUCUUUAGUACGAGAGGACCGAGAAGGACAUACCUCUGGUGUACCAGUUAUCGUGCCAACGGUAAACGCUGGGUAGCUAUGUAUGGAGUGGAUAACCGCUGAAAGCAUCUAAGUGGGAAGCCCACCUCAAGAUAAGUAUUCUCACC
Molecule: ribosomal RNA, 1245 nt
Filed under: metagenome
Description: bacterial LSU rRNA
Rfam family: Bacterial large subunit ribosomal RNA
Source: RNAcentral